RNAcentral lists this ribosomal RNA (434 nucleotides) under uncultured Lachnospiraceae bacterium. RNAcentral describes it as "partial 16S ribosomal RNA". It matches the Rfam family "Bacterial small subunit ribosomal RNA", at positions 341 to 792 of the family's 1533-position model. The record is from RNAcentral. Lineage: Bacteria; Bacillati; Bacillota; Clostridia; Lachnospirales; Lachnospiraceae.
ACGGAAGGCAGCAGUGGGGAAUAUUGCACAAUGGGCGAAAGCCUGAUGCAGCGACGCCGCGUGAGUGAAGAAGUAUCUCGGUAUGUAAAGCUCUAUCAGCAGGGAAGAAAAUGACGGUACCUGACUAAGAAGCCCCGGCUAACUACGUGCCAGCAGCCGCGGUAAUACGUAGGGGGCAAGCGUUAUCCGGAUUUACUGGGUGUAAAGGGAGCGUGGACGGUUUGGCAAGUCUGAAGUGAAAUGCGGGGGCUCAACUCCUGAACUGCUUUGGAAACUGUCGAACUAGAGUGCAGGAGAGGUAAGUGGAAUUCCUAGUGUAGCGGUGAAAUGCGUAGAUAUUAGGAGGAACACCAGUGGCGAAGGCGGCUUACUGGACUGUAACUGACGUUGAGGCUCGAAAGCGUGGGGAGCAAACAGGAUUAGAUACCCUGGUA